Molecule: long non-coding RNA, 345 nt
Organism: Photinus pyralis (common eastern firefly)
Lineage: Eukaryota; Metazoa; Arthropoda; Insecta; Coleoptera; Lampyridae
Exons: 3
Source: RefSeq, a predicted model, not a curated record
UACAAUCGCACAUUUUGAUAGUCUAAAUGUACUUAGAAUUAAAGAUCAUGUACAAACACUUUCUGCAUACAAUUCGACGCCACUGUUUAUUAUGUAAUUUUGAUAAAUAUUUUUCUUGACUAAUUCAUUAUUAUGUGAGGUUUUGUAGUUUGCUUGCAAAUAAUAAUAAUCGAAAAUACCAAUGCAAUGUCUCAACGGCAACAGGUUGUCACUUUAUAUAAAACGAUCCUGAGAAGAUUAAGCAGCUAAUUGGGCAUGGUGAAUAUAUUGUCAAAGAGAUUGAAGCUUUGUAUAUGCUGAAAAAAUACAGAACUCUUAAACGUAGAUAUUACAAUGAUGUGUGAG